UACUAUUAAUAGUAAAACGCUCUUUUUGCUAUCAAGUUUUUAACCCUUGAAUGAAAAAUUGUAGGGUCAGGAUGAUAUUAGUCGGUUAGAGUUGAGUGGUCCCCCUAGGGUUGAGUGGUCCCCACUAGGUUAUAGUAUUUAAUCCAAUGGUUAGAAAUAAUGAAAAGAGUUGAUCCAAAGGCUAAAAAACUGGUAGCAACAAUGGGAUUUUGCUACUAAUAGUGGCCCAGUCCAAAUCUAUAUAUAUAUAUAGAGAGAGAGAGAGAAAGAGAGUAAGUCUCCUGUACUUUCGAAAGUACGGAGACCUCCGUGCUUGUAAGUUGUUUUCGAUAAUAGGAAAUCCGAUUCGACGAUCGGUUCCGUUAAGUAUAAUCUACCCUAUUAGAACUAUUUAGAAACCAAAUUUUAUAAUUUUUUGACAUUAUUUACCAAGUGAUCAAAAGGCCUCAAAAAUGACUAUUUUAAUGGCCGAUGUGACACGUUUUUAAGUUCAACGGUGUAGAAGUAUCCAAUUAGAUGAAAAUUUAAUAAAAAAAUCUACUUAACAUCAAUAGCAAGACCAAUACUUUCGAUUUGAAAUUUGAGUCAUUUAUCACUAUUUUUUAUGAGAUUUUCAUUUUCAGCUGUUCAUUUUGAGGCUACUCGUUUACUAGACAAACGAAAUCAAAAAAUUAUGAAAUUUGGUUUCUAGAUAGUUCCAACAGUGUAGAUCAUGUCUAACAGAACCGAUCGCCGAAUCAGAUGUCCGAUUAUUGAAAACAACUUAUAAGUACGGAGGCUCCCGUACUUUCGAAAGCAUAGGAUCACCGCAGCCCUUAUGCUUCUAACUUUCUAACAACCCAUCAAGUUUGAUGGGUGGUUAGAAUGAAAGAGGGAGGAGAUAUUGGGAAGAAAUUGGGUAUUUCAAUUUCUUUUCUCCUUGAAUUUCUCUUCAAUAUCUCUUUCCCUUUUCAUUCUAACUACCCAUCAAACUUGAUGGGUGGUUAGAAAGUUAGGAGCACAAGGGCUGCUGUGCUCCUAAUAGCACAGUAGCCCUACUCUCUCUCUAUAUAUAUAUAUAUAUGCAUAUAUAUAUAUAUGUAUGUAUAUGUAUGUAUGUAUAUGUAUGUAUAUAUAUGUAUAUGUGUGUGUGUGUGUGUGUGUGUGUGUGUGUGUGUGUGUGUGUGUGUGUGUGNUUCUGACAUUCCCGCAAAUUUUCAUAAUUUUCUGAGACUGUACAUUUUCUGCUAAUUUAUCAGUCCCGUUUCCAACAGAAAAUUCUAAAUAUUCUGUUUUCAAUCCGAUUUCAGCACAAGUCAUUUCUGACUUAUGUUUUACUCCUCUAAAUCUAAUAAAAAUAGUAUCUCACACUAUUUUUAUUUAUUUUUAUUUUUAUAUUUAAAAUCCGGUAUGUUACAUUCCACCGCAACUUCACCGGAACCAUUUAAAUGUAUACCGUGACUUCAUGAUUUUAAAAUCCGGUAUGUUACAUUCCACCGCAACUUCACCGGAACCAUUUAAAUGUAUACCGUGACUUCAUGAUUUUAGAAGUUCAGUAUGUUACAGACGCAAAACGGACUCUCUGCGAUGCGAGUGUAGCAUUUGGCGAGACAAUAUGCAAAAUAGCAGUUUUUCUACUUGCUGUACUGGUACAGCCAUCAAGGUGUACCGGUACACUUUAUCAGGCUAUGCGCGGGUUGCUCUCGGGUUACCCUCUGUACCGGUACACUGGCCCGUGUACCGGUACACUAGGGUAGGUAAAGGGGCUUUUUGGUAAUUUCGAGCCUCGUUUGUGUCACCCUCCUCUCCCCAACCUAUAUACCUGUGUAGAGAGAGCUGAGAGGAGAGUUUCUUGCUUACUUCUUCUUCUCUCUCUAGCUUGGAUCGUGAGCAUGGUGGAGCUCCGGUGGAGUUCGGGUUUCGUCGAUGUCGCACCGCGAAGCCGUUCGAGGGUACGGUUGCCGCCGUAGCAUCGCAAAGAGGCCGGACGAGAUUGCGUUUUUGCCGUUCUCGACGCCGCAUCGAAGUUCGAUUAACCUUUGAGGUGAGUGUUCCGUUGCAAUUGCUUCAAGUACUUCAAGCAUCAUCAAAUUCGAGUUAUGUAAUGUUUCGCAGAAUUUCAUCGUCGACUGUCAGCAUUUCGACUCGUACUCGACGUAGGAGCGUCAGAUUUUGACGAGAUUUGGUUCGUUGGAUUCGGGACUUCGAGAGGAAUCCACGGAGCCCUUAUUUACUGGAUUUGGUGAAGGUUUGCUGGGUCGGAAUUAUAGUCUUCUCUGCUGAUGUUUUUGAGGCAGAUUUGAUGCUUAUUGCCGGAUUCUACGUGUAGAGUUGGCGGGAACUUGACUUCCGGCCUUUGGAGGUUUUCAGUUGAUCCUGCCGGGCGUCCCUUUGCUUCGGGACUUCCUCGCCGCCAGGGAUUAGCUCGCAAGGUGGGUUACAUCGGUUUAUUCCUAAGUAUCGUAUUAGUCGACAUGUAUGAUUUUCAGCUUUGUAUAUCAUGUGUAGCUCAAUUUCGUCGAUUAUAUUCUGAUGAAAACCGAUUUGAGAACAUGAUUAGUAAACCCUAAAUAUACAUGUUGGACUUCGAUUUGACUUAGGAGAAAACGCGAUAACGAUCGGCACAUGUAAACUAUCUGAUUUAGCCCUAGGGAUCGUUGUAUUAUUUUAUACUGUUGAAGUAUCCUCAUAGUGAGUAUUCCCGGUAGUUUAGUUUUCAGUUACGCUCAUACUGGGAUGCCGAGUGUAUUUUUACUGUAGCGUUCAGACUGUUCCGGAUGUUGGGUGCCGUCGGGGUUGACGGUGGACCCAUAUCGCCUGUUUGGCGUCGGAUUGUGCCAAGGGCACGUUACCUAUUGGUUGUUAGACCAGUUUGAGUCGGUUACUGGAUUUUGACUUUCGAGAGUCUGAUUGAGCUCAACAGAUUUGAUUGGGUCAGAUUUGACAUUUCCUACAGUUGGUUAGUGUAGAGCAUGAUAGUGUAGCGAUUCAUAGCGGUAGAUUUUAUUCCUGCAUUUACUACUAUCCUUACUCCCUUCUGUAGAUUUAGUGGGUAGACCGAUGUUGUUGAGGGCGGCACCCACUGAGGACUACUUGUUUUACAGUAGUUCUCAUGCUCUGUUGUUACCCUAUUUUUUUGCAGAGCCUUCGUCUUCGGCUGCUGUUGUUGUUGAUCAGGAUCGAGGCAAGGGCGUCGCGAGUUAGAGCCCUACCCGACAAGCCGAGCUAGAGGUGCCCCUACAGCAGGUAGUUGUUUUGUUGGAGUUUAUGUACAUACUUAUAUUUAACUCGCCAGUGCGAGUAGUUUUAUAUCUUGGAUUUUGGCAUAUGUAUAUGGAACUCGGUUUGUUUUAUUUCUAGUUCUUCUAGCAGCUUUAUACUACUGUUUGUAGUAUUGUAUGAUUUACAGGUACAGCUAUCGCUUCGUAUACAGGAAAAAUUUCUUUAUAUACGGCGAAUUUGUCGGCGUGCCCGGAGAACGUGUAAUUCGGGGCGUGACACCAAAUCUGAUGAAAUUUUUAUAGAAAAUUCUUUUUACUAUUUAGAGUAAGAUCAGUACCUCUGAUCUUAAAUUCAAAUCUUUUAUCAUCAUUUUUUAUGAGAUUUUUAUUUUCAGCCAUUAAUUUUUAGGCUACUCAUUUGAUAGGUAAAUGAUGCCGAAAAAUUAUGAAAUUUAGUUUCCAAAUACUUUCAAUAGUGUAGAUCAAGUCUAACGGAGUCGAUCGUCGAUUUGGAAGCCGCAUCAUUGAAAACAACUUGGUAGCACGAAGGCCUCCGUGCUACCGAUAGUAUACCAGCCUAGCUCUCUCUCUCUGUCUCUCUCUCUCUCUCUCUCUCUCUCUCUAUAUAUAUAUAUAUAUAUAUGUAUAUGUAUAUGUAUAUAUAUAUAUAUGUAUAUGUAUAUGUAUAUGUAUAUAUAUAUAUAUGUAUAUGUAUAUGUAUAUGUAUAUGUAUAUGUAUAUAUGUAUAUGUAUAUGUAUAUANGCAUGAUAGUGUAGUGAUUCAUAGCGGUAUAUUUUAUUCCUGCAUUUACUACUAUCCUUACUCCCUUCUGUAGACUUAGUAGGUGGACCGAUGUUGUUGAGGGCGGCACCUGCUGUUGUUGAUCAGGAUCGAGGUAAGAGCGUCGCGAGUUAGAGCCCUACCCGACGAGCCGAGCUAGAGAUGCCCCUACAGCAGGUAGUUGUUUUGUUGGAGUUCAUGUACAUACUUAUAUUUAACUCGCCAGUGUGAGUAGUUUUGUAUCUUGGAUUUUGGCAUAUGUAUAUGGAACUCGGUUUGUUUUAUUUCUGCUUCUUCUAGCAGCUCUAUACUACUGUUUGUAGUAUUGUAUGAUUUACAGGUACAGCUAUCGCUUCGUAUACAGGAAAAAUUUCUUUAUAUACGGCGGAUUUGUUCGCGUGCCCGGGGAACGUGUAAUCCGGGACGUGACACCAAAUCUGAUGAAAUUUUUAUAGAAAAUUCUUUUUACUAUUUAGAGUAAGAUCAGUACCUCUGAUCUUAAAUUCAAAUAUUUUAUCAUCAUUUUUUAUGAGAUUUUUAUUUUCAGCCGUUCAUUUUUAGGCUACUCGUUUGAUAGGUAAAUGAUGCCGAAAAAUUAUGAAAUUUAGUUUCCAAAUACUUUCAAUAGUGUAGAUCAAGUCUAACGGAGUCGAUCAUCGAUUUGGAAGCCGCAUCAUUGAAAACAACUUGGUAGCACGGAGGCCUCCGUGCUACCAAUAGUAUACCAGCCUAGCUCUCUCUCUCUCUCUCUCUCUCUCUCUAUAUAUAUAUAUAUAUAUAUAUAACUAGGCUAGAAUGCUAUUAAUAGCACCAAUAACUUGGUGCUAUUAAGUUUUCUGCCGUUGGAUUAAAAUAUGUGCGAUUAGGAUGAUGUGGGCCCCCUAGGUUGAGUGGGUGGUUAGUUGAACAGUAUAAUCGAACAGAUGAAAAUGAUAAAAGAGGUAAAUUUAACGACAAAAAUCCUGAUAGCACCAAUUGCUUCGUGCUAUCGAUAGUAGCCCAGCCGGACUAUAUAUAUAUAUGUAUGUAUAUAUAUAUAUAUAUGUAUAUAUAUAUAUAUAGAAUUAGGCUGGUAUACUAUUAAUAGUAAAACGCUCUUUUUGCUAUCAAGUUUUUAACCCUUGGAUGAAAAAUUGUAGGGUCAGGAUGAUAUUAGUCGGUUAGAGUUGAGUGAUCCGCCUAGGGUUGAGUGGUCCCCACUAGGUUAUAGUAUUUAAUCCAAUGGUUAGAAAUAAUGAAAAGAGUUGAUCCAAAGGCUAAAAAACUGGUAGCAACAAUGGGAUUUUGCUACUAAUAGUAGCCCAGUCCAAAUCUAUAUAUAUAUAUAUAUAGAGAGAGAGAGAGAGAGUAAGUCUCCUGUACUUUCGAAAGUACGGAGACCUCCGUGCUUGUAAGUUAUUUUUAAUAAUAGAAAAUCCGAUUCGACGAUCGGUUCCGUUAAGUAUAAUCUACCCUAUUAGAACUAUUUAGAAACCAAAUUUUAUAAUUUUUUGACAUCAUUUACCAAGUGAUCAAAAGGUCUCAAAAAUGACUAUUUUAAUGGCCGAUGUGGCACGUUUUUAAGUUCAAUGGUGUAGAAGUAUCCAAAUUAGAUGAAAAUUUAAUAGAAAAUUCUACUUAACAUCAAUAGUAAGACCAAUACUUUCGAUUUGAAAUUUGAGUCAUUUAUCACUGUUUUUUAUGAGAUUUUCAUUUUUAGCUGCUCAUUUUGAGGCUACUCGUUUACUAAACAAACGAAAUCAAAAAAUUAUGAAAUUUGGUUUCUAGAUAGUUCCAACAACGUAGAUCAUGUCUAACGGAACCGAUCGCCGAAUUGGAUGUUCGAUUAUUGAAAACAACUUACAAGUACGGAGGCUCCCGUACUUUCGAAGGCAUAGGAGCACCGCAGCCCUUAUGCUUCUAACUUUCUAACACCCCAUCAAGUUUGAUGGGUGGUUAGAAUGAAAGAGGGAGGAGAUAUUGGGGAGAAAUUGGGUGUUUCAAUUUCUUUUCUCCUUGAAUUUCUCUU
Molecule: long non-coding RNA, 5989 nt
Filed under: Ananas comosus (pineapple)
Lineage: Eukaryota; Viridiplantae; Streptophyta; Magnoliopsida; Poales; Bromeliaceae
Description: long non-coding RNA (ACOM_LNC000767)
Source: RNAcentral